GUUACCAGCACGUUAUGGUGGGCACUCUAAGGAGACUGCCGGUGACAAACCGGAGGAAGGGUGGGGAUGACGUCAAGUCAUCAUGGCCCUUACGGCCGUGGGCUACACACGUGCUACAAUGGUCGGUACAAAGGGUUGCCAAGCCGCGAGGUGGAGCUAAUCCCAUAAAACCGAUCGUAGUCCGGAUCGCAGUCUGCAACUCGACUGCGUGAAGUCGGAAUCGCUAGUAAUCGCGCAUCAGCCAUGGCGCGGUGAAUACGUUCCCGGGCCUU
RNAcentral lists this ribosomal RNA (272 nucleotides) under uncultured Pseudomonas sp. RNAcentral describes it as "partial 16S ribosomal RNA". It matches the Rfam family "Bacterial small subunit ribosomal RNA", at positions 1114 to 1382 of the family's 1533-position model. Lineage: Bacteria; Pseudomonadati; Pseudomonadota; Gammaproteobacteria; Pseudomonadales; Pseudomonadaceae. The record is from RNAcentral.